This 240-nucleotide ribosomal RNA is filed under the name uncultured bacterium. RNAcentral describes it as "partial 16S ribosomal RNA". It matches the Rfam family "Bacterial small subunit ribosomal RNA", at positions 92 to 334 of the family's 1533-position model. The record is from RNAcentral.
CGACCGGCGCACGGGUGCGUAACGCGUAUGCACCACCUUAACAGGGGAGUAACACUGAGAAAUUGGUACUAAUACCCCAUAAUAUCAUAGAAGGCAUCUUUUUAUGGUUGAAAAUUCCGAUGGUUAGAGAUGGGCAUGCGUUGUAUUAGCUAGUUGGUGGGGUAACGGCUCACCAAGGCGACGAUACAUAGGGGGACUGAGAGGUUAACCCCCCCACACUGGUACUGAGGCACGGACCAG